This 1934-nucleotide ribosomal RNA is filed under the name Sphingobacteriaceae bacterium DW12. RNAcentral's name for it is "bacterial LSU rRNA". It matches the Rfam family "Bacterial large subunit ribosomal RNA", at positions 515 to 2452 of the family's 2925-position model. The record is from RNAcentral. Lineage: Bacteria; Pseudomonadati; Bacteroidota; Sphingobacteriia; Sphingobacteriales; Sphingobacteriaceae.
UGAAAAGAACCCCGAACAGGGGAGUGAAAAGAACCUGAAACCGUGUGCUUACAAGCGGUCGGAGCGGACGAGUUCCGUGACGGCGUGCCUUUUGCAUAAUGAGCCUACGAGUUACUCUUGUCUGGCAAGGUUAAGCGGUUCAGCCGCGCAGCCGAAGCGAAAGCGAGUCUUAAUAGGGCGCAUAGUCAGAUGAGGUAGACGCGAAACCUUGUGAUCUACCCUUGGGCAGGUUGAAGUUGCAGUAACAUGUAAUGGAGGACCGAACCGAUAAACGUUGAAAAGUUUCCGGAUGACCUGAGGGUAGGGGUGAAAGGCCAAUCAAACUGGGAAAUAGCUCGUACUCCCCGAAAUGUUUUUAGGAACAGCGUGAGAAUAGAGUCUAGCAGAGGUAGAGCUACCGAUUGGGUGCGGGGGAGUCAAAUCCUACCAAAUCCAGACGAACUCCGAAUGCUGUUAGAUAUGUCUUGCAGUGAGGCUCUGGGUGCUAAGGUCCAGGGCCGAGAGGGAAAGAACCCAGACCAUCGGCUAAGGUCCCCAAAUGUAGUCUAAGUUGAACUAACGAGGUCCGGUUGCCCAGACAGCUAGGAUGUUGGCUUGGAAGCAGCCAUUCAUUUAAAGAGUGCGUAACAGCUCACUAGUCGAGCGGCCGGGCGUGGAUAAUAAACGGGCAUCAAGAUUACUACCGAAGCCAUGGAUUCAUACAGCGAUGUAUGUCUGGUAGGGGAGCAUUCCAUCGGGGGCGAAGCAGCAUGGCAAUGUGCUGUGGACCUUAUGGAAAAGCAAAUGUAGGCAUAAGUAACGAUAAGGCGGGUGGGAAACCCGCCCACCGAAAGACUAAGGUUUCCUGAUCAACGCUAAUCGGAUCAGGGUUAGUCGGGGCCUAAGGUACACCCGAACGGGGAUAACCGAUGGACAACUGGUCAAUAUUCCAGUACUUUUUAUAACUGCGAUGUGGUGACGGAGUAGUGACACUGCCGCGGACUGACGGAAUAGUCCGUUGAAAGGCGUAGGUAUAGGGACGGUAGGCAAAUCCGCCGACCCUGCUGAAACCCAAUAGUACAGCAAAGCUCCGGCGGCGCUGAUAGAGCAGGUAAACAGACUUCCAAGAAAACCCGCUAAGCUCCAGGUUAUAAAAACCCGUACCGUAAACCGACACAGGUAGUCGAGGAGAGGAUCCUAAGGUGCUCGAGUGAAUCAUGGCUAAGGAACUCGGCAAAAUGGCCCUGUAACUUCGGGAGAAGGGGCGCUUCCUCACGAGAGUGAGAAGCCGCAGUGAAAAGGCCCAGGCGACUGUUUAACAAAAACAUAUGGCUUUGCGAAAUCGCAAGAUGAGGUAUAAGGCCUGACACCUGCCCGGUGCUGGAAGGUUAAGAGGGGAUGUCAUCGCAAGAGAAGCAUUGAAUCGAAGCCCCAGUAAACGGCGGCCGUAACUAUAACGGUCCUAAGGUAGCGAAAUUCCUUGUCGGGUAAGUUCCGACCUGCACGAAUGGUGUAACGAUCUGGGCGCUGUCUCAGCCAUGAGCUCGGUGAAAUUGUGGUAUCGGUGAAGACGCCGAUUACCCGCAACGGGACGGAAAGACCCCAUGCACCUUCACUAUAGCUUAACAUUGGAAUUGGGUACAGGAUGUGUAGGAUAGGCGGGAGAUGUUGAAGUGGCUUCGCCAGGAGCCAUGGAAUCGACCUUGAAAUACCGCCCUUUCUGUAUCCGGUUUCUAACUCGAUCAUGUCGAGGACAUUGUUUGGUGGGUAGUUUGACUGGGGUGGUCGCCUCCAAAAAGGUAACGGAGGCUUUCAAAGGUAAGCUCAGUACGCUUGGUAACCGUACGCGGAGUGCAAUGGCAUAAGCUUGCUUGACUGUGAGACCGACAAGUCGAACAGGGUCGAAAGACGGACAUAGUGAUCCGGUGGUUCUGUAUGGAAGGGCCAUCGCUCAA